RNAcentral lists this long non-coding RNA (1196 nucleotides) under Gallus gallus (chicken). RNAcentral's name for it is "long non-coding RNA NONGGAT003591". Lineage: Eukaryota; Metazoa; Chordata; Aves; Galliformes; Phasianidae. The record is from RNAcentral.
GUACUCCUUCUACAAAGGUUCAAAUAGAGAAAGCGUUUCCAUAUCUGUCGGGUGCCUGAUAGGUUUUCAGUGGGGAGAUGGCAGUUGUGCAGUGAGGAUUAUUUUAUCUACAUGUAAUGUAGGAUAUGAGAGUGUAAGAAGUUAAGGGAAGGAGCAAGGCACGUGAGGGGCUGAGAUCGGGUGAGCUGUGCAGUGUUGCAGCACUUGCCAGAGCUGGCUCCUUCUUCUGUUUCAUUUUUUCAAUAUUUUAGUAUUUAACAAAGGAAACAAAGAAAUUCAAAGAUGUCAGACUUAGAUCAAGAGUAGGCCUGGCUUGCUGACCCUGUUCUCCAGUCUUUAAAGUGUUCUUUGUGGAAUCAGAACAGUGGGCCUGCAGUGCGAUCCCUGUGGCUGGUCACUCUCUGUGGGGAAUGAAACAUGAGAUGGCCAUGCCCAGGAUCUUCACUCUUCUGAAUGACUGUCAAAUGUCCAGGGAUGAUCAACAGGCAACAGCAGGCCCUGUUCUUUGGAAGAAGGCCACAAUUUGUAGAUUGACAGACAGCAGAAAGAUCUUAAAUACAAACUCAAGUGUGAAGCCUGUUCUGGGCCAUUUGUUCCUACUGCAUCUGCCUGGGUCACAAAGUGGGACAGGGGGGAGCUGCUGUGUUCCAGCAGCAUUCAUAGUUCAGUGUUUAAGAGAGAAAAUAUUUUCAGCUCUGCACAGAGCCUCCAUUUUGCCUGUUUGCUGUCUCCUGCUGCUUCUGUUCUCAGUGGCCAUACCCAUACCCACUUCCCUAUGUGAAUACUUGCUGAAGCCUGCUAGGCUGGCUGUGCUGCUCUCUCUCCCCUCACCCUUCCCUCUCUGUCCAAACCAAUUAUAACCACUGGUUCUUUAGUGAUCAUUUUCCUCCUUUCUUCCUUCCUUUCCCUUCAGGCAUCCAGGCACAAGGAAUAUCUAAGAGUUGUAAUGACCUGGGAGGGUGCUGAGCUGGGGCUUUGGGAACUACGGACAUGGAUUACUAAUUUGGAGACGCAGCUAAGCACUGUUACUUAAGAGAAUUCCAAUUCAGAUCUCUUGUGCUCUGUGUUGCUGCUUAUAUGUAAGGUUGGUAAAAAUGGGGAACUUGUGGGAGCCAGAGUGAUUGUGUACAAAUACUGCUGCAGCUGGAGAAGCAGGGACCAAGCUGUCUCUUUUUUUCUGUUUUGCUUCUUCUCUA